UGUGUCAAAACCGUCACCAGGUAAGUCCAGCUAUGCUAGCGCGUACUUUGGUGUCUGCUGGUUAGCAUCAAUUUUGAUUGUCAUAAAAAGGUUAAGGGGAUGUGGCUCCCUUUCGGGGGAGUGUUAUAACCCUUGGCGGAAUGUGACGAUUGGGUUUGAGGUUUGCAACGAAUACCUUUAGGGCAGUUCCUUCUGGUCUCUUGUUGACAUUCAGAUGGCGACAGCUUGCUGACGUUGUUUGAAUAGUUUGCGAAUAGAUUGGAAUGUGAAUUAA
Molecule: ribosomal RNA, 274 nt
Filed under: uncultured Glomeromycotina
Lineage: Eukaryota; Fungi; Glomeromycota
Description: partial 28S ribosomal RNA
Source: RNAcentral